GAAGGGUAUGUUUUAUAUGAUCUCAAUUCUCAUCAAAUUUUCAUUUCCAUAAAUUUUAUUCUUUGUGAAAAUGUGUUUCCUUUUACAGCCCCUAUUAACUCAUCCAAUGUUUCUCCUUCACUUCCUUUAAUAUCUGCCACCUCCUAGCAUUCCCCUCACAUUCUUGCUAUAACUCCAACCCCUGACUGUACCUAUAGCCCACCUACAGAUAAUUCUCAUUCUAUACAUAAGCAAUCCCUUCAACAUUAGACACUUUACUAGAUUUCGCUGCCAACCUUCUUACCAUGCAAAUUUUCACUUAAUA
Molecule: long non-coding RNA, 304 nt
Filed under: Vigna radiata
Lineage: Eukaryota; Viridiplantae; Streptophyta; Magnoliopsida; Fabales; Fabaceae
Description: long non-coding RNA (VRAD_LNC001050)
Source: RNAcentral